GGACGGGGCCCGCACAAGCGGUGGAGCACGUGGUUUAAUUCGAUGCAAACCGAAGAACCUUUACCUGGGUUUUGACAUGUGCGUGUUACUGAGGUGAAAGCCGAGGGACCAUAUCUUCGGAUGUGGAGCGUACACAGGUGCUGCAUGGCUGUCGUCAGCUCAUGUCGUGAGAUGUUGGGUUAAGUCCCGCAACGAGCGCAACCCUUGUCAUUAGUUGCUACGAAAGGGCACUCUAAUGAGACUGCCGGUGACAAACCCGGAGGAAGGUGGGGAUGACGUCAAGUCCUCAUGGCCCUUAUGGGUAGGGCUUCACACGUCAUACAAUGGUACAUACAGAGGGCCGCCAACCCGCGAGGGGGAGCUAAUUCCAGAAAGUGUAUCGUAGUCCGGAUUGGAGUCUGCAACUCGACUCCAUGAAGUUGGAAUCGCUAGUAAUCGCGGAUCAGCAUGUCGCGGUGAAUACGUUCCCGGGUCUU
This 476-nucleotide ribosomal RNA is filed under the name uncultured Herbaspirillum sp. Its description in RNAcentral is "bacterial SSU rRNA". It matches the Rfam family "Bacterial small subunit ribosomal RNA", at positions 916 to 1381 of the family's 1533-position model. The record is from RNAcentral. Lineage: Bacteria; Pseudomonadati; Pseudomonadota; Betaproteobacteria; Burkholderiales; Oxalobacteraceae.